GACGAACGCUGGCGGCGUGCUUAACACAUGCAAGUCGAACGGAAAGGCCCUGCUUUUGUGGGGUGCUCGAGUGGCGAACGGGUGAGUAACACGUGAGUAACCUGCCCUUGACUUUGGGAUAACUUCAGGAAACUGGGGCUAAUACCGGAUAGGAGCUCCUGCUGCAUGGUGGGGGUUGGAAGGUUUCGGCGGUUGGGGAUGGACUCGCGGCUUAUCAGCUUGUUGGUGGGGUAGUGGCUUACCAAGGCUUUGACGGGUAGCCGGCCUGAGAGGGUGUCCGGCCACAUUGGGACUGAGAUACGGCCCAGACUCCUACGGGAGGCAGCAGUGGGGAAUAUUGCACAAUGGGCGGAAGCCUGAUGCAGCAACGCCGCGUGCGGGAUGACGGCCUUCGGGUUGUAAACCGCUUUCGCCUGUGACGAAGCGUGAGUGACGGUAAUGGGUAAAGAAGCACCGGCUAACUACGUG
This 468-nucleotide ribosomal RNA is filed under the name uncultured bacterium. RNAcentral's name for it is "partial 16S ribosomal RNA". It matches the Rfam family "Bacterial small subunit ribosomal RNA", at positions 28 to 507 of the family's 1533-position model. The record is from RNAcentral.